AACGAACGCUGGCGGCAUGCCUAAUACAUGCAAGUCGAACGAGAAAGCUCUUCGGAGUGAGCAGAGUGGCGCACGGGUGAGUAACACGUAGGUAACAUACCUUUCAGUGGGGGACAACAUCGGGAAACCGGUGCUAAUACCGCAUAAGCAGGUAACUGGAAAGGCUGCCUUUGGCAGUCGCUGAGAGAAUGGCCUGCGGGACAUUAGCUUGAUGGUGGGGUAAUGGCCUACCAUGGCGACGAUGUCUAGCUGGUCUGAGAGGAUGAUCAGUCACACUGGAACUGAGACACGGUCCAG
RNAcentral lists this ribosomal RNA (297 nucleotides) under uncultured bacterium. Its description in RNAcentral is "partial 16S ribosomal RNA". It matches the Rfam family "Bacterial small subunit ribosomal RNA", at positions 29 to 334 of the family's 1533-position model. The record is from RNAcentral.